GGCCCUGUAGCUCAGUGGUAGAGCAUUUGACUGCAGAUCAAGGGGUGACGAGUUCGAUUCUCGUCGGGGCCU
This 72-nucleotide transfer RNA is filed under the name Methanosarcinales archaeon. RNAcentral's name for it is "tRNA-Cys". It matches the Rfam family "tRNA". Rfam says of the family: Transfer RNA (tRNA) molecules are approximately 80 nucleotides in length. Lineage: Archaea; Methanobacteriati; Methanobacteriota; Methanomicrobia; Methanosarcinales. The record is from RNAcentral.